UACGUAGGGGGCUAGCGUUGUCCGGAAUCAUUGGGCGUCAAGCGCGUGUAGGCGGUCCGGUAAGUCCGCUGUGAAAGUCGGGGGCUCAACCCUCGAAAGCCGGUGGAAACUGUCGGGCUAGAGUGCGGAAGAGGCGAGUGGAAUUCCUGGUGUAGCGGUGAAAUGCGCAGAUAUCAGGAGGAACACCAAUUGCGAAGGCAGCUCGCUGGGACGUUACUGACGCUGAGACGCGAAAGCGUGGGGAGCAAACAGG
Molecule: ribosomal RNA, 253 nt
Filed under: uncultured bacterium
Lineage: Bacteria
Description: partial 16S ribosomal RNA
Rfam family: Bacterial small subunit ribosomal RNA
Source: RNAcentral